GCCCUGGCCGGGCGGUCUGCCUCACGGUAUGUACUGUCUGGCUGGGGCUUACCUCUUGGUGAGCUCGCAUGCCGUUUAUUCGGUGUGUGAGGGAACCAGGACUUUUACUUUGAAAAAAUUAGAGUGUUCAAAGCAGGCUUUUUCUUUGCCUGAAUAUCUUAGCAUGGAAUAAUAGAAUAG
RNAcentral lists this ribosomal RNA (180 nucleotides) under uncultured Glomeromycotina. RNAcentral describes it as "partial small subunit ribosomal RNA". The stretch from base 75 to 180 matches the Rfam family "Eukaryotic small subunit ribosomal RNA", at positions 722 to 825 of the family's 1831-position model. Lineage: Eukaryota; Fungi; Glomeromycota. The record is from RNAcentral.